RNAcentral lists this long non-coding RNA (674 nucleotides) under Homo sapiens (human). RNAcentral's name for it is "HSALNT0223935". The record is from RNAcentral. Lineage: Eukaryota; Metazoa; Chordata; Mammalia; Primates; Hominidae.
CUGGAAAAUGGAAAUGGGAGAAGGGAAGAUAAAACGAUGACUACUUAAUAGUUACCCACAGUCAGAAGGUUUUUUAUUGAAGGGUGUUUCAGCAACACAUACACCCCUAUACGGGCAAACUAUGAUCUGAGAUCACACUCCUCCAAAGCAACAGUUUUACAGUUCUCCAGGAUUCAGAUCUGGUCACCAGAUUUUUAGCAGCAUUUUAAAAUGGGAUUUAUCACCAAAGCCUUGUUUUGGAAAAGUUUAAGUACUCAGUCCUAGAAAGAUAUAUCCCAUAAGACAAGAUUUUAAGAAUAAAAUACUUUUAAGAAUAAAGCUGAAAAGCUGGACUUGUACAGAUGUUAAACAGCAACACAUAGCAGGAUACUCCAAAAAAUACUCAGAUUGCAAUAUUUUUCGACUUCUAAUUACAGUAAUGGGAAAGGUGUGGGGCAGGAGACAGGAAUGCUGCCCAAAGAUGAAGUAUAGAAAUAUCUAAGUCUAAUGAAAAGACGUCUUCCAUGCCCUCAAAAGAACAAAGAGUGGCCACACAGGCAGGCGCCUUCCAGUCUUACAGGUACAUGUGAAUAUAGGGCUCUUUCCUCAGCUCCAUAUGCAAUAGUCAGCUUAAACUCUAGCUCUGACUAAUCCUCUAGGAGUAGGUAGUAACAUUUUCCACUAGUCUCCUGAGG